Molecule: ribosomal RNA, 1343 nt
Filed under: uncultured bacterium
Lineage: Bacteria
Description: 16S ribosomal RNA
Rfam family: Bacterial small subunit ribosomal RNA
Source: RNAcentral
GACGAACGCUGGCGGCGUGCUUAACACAUGCAAGUCGAACGGAAAGGCCCUGCUUUUGUGGGGUGCUCGAGUGGCGAACGGGUGAGUAACACGUGAGUAACCUGCCCUUGACUUUGGGAUAACUUCAGGAAACUGGGGCUAAUACCGGAUAGGAGCUCCUGCUGCAUGGUGGGGGUUGGAAAGUUUCGGCGGUUGGGGACGGACUCGCGGCUUAUCAGCUUGUUGGUGGGGUAGUGGCUUACCAAGGCUUUGACGUGUAGCCGGCCUGAGAGGGUGACCGGCCACAUUGGGACUGAGAUACGGCCCAGACUCCUACGGGAGGCAGCAGUGGGGAAUAUUGCACAAUGGGCGGAAGCCUGAUGCAGCAACGCCGCGUGCGGGAUGACGGCCUUCGGGUUGUAAACCGCUUUCGCCUGUGACGAAGCGUGAGUGACGGUAAUGGGUAAAGAAGCACCGGCUAACUACGUGCCAGCAGCCGCGGUGAUACGUAGGGUGCGAGCGUUGUCCGGAUUUAUUGGGCGUAAAGGGCUCGUAGGUGGUUGAUCGCGUCGGAAGUGUAAUCUUGGGGCUUAACCCUGAGCGUGCUUUCGAUACGGGUUGACUUGAGGAAGGUAGGGGAGAAUGGAAUUCCUGGUGGAGCGGUGGAAUGCGCAGAUAUCAGGAGGAACACCAGUGGCGAAGGCGGUUCUCUGGGCCUUUCCUGACGCUGAGGAGCGAAAGCGUGGGGAGCGAACAGGCUUAGAUACCCUGGUAGUCCACGCUGUAAACGGUGGGUACUAGGUGUGGGGUCCAUUCCACGGGUUCCGUGCCGUAGCUAACGCUUUAAGUACCCCGCCUGGGGAGUACGGCCGCAAGGCUAAAACUCAAAGGAAUUGACGGGGCCCCGCACAAGCGGCGGAGCAUGCGGAUUAAUUCGAUGCAACGCGUAGAACCUUACCUGGGUUUGACAUGGAUCGGGAGCGCUCAGAGAUGGGUGUGCCUCUUUUGGGGUCGGUUCACAGGUGGUGCAUGGCUGUCGUCAGCUCGUGUCGUGAGAUGUUGGGUUAAGUCCCGCAACGAGCGCAACCCUUGUUCACUGUUGCCAGCACGUUAUGGUGGGGACUCAGUGGAGACCGCCGGGGUCAACUCGGAGGAAGGUGGGGAUGACGUCAAGUCAUCAUGCCCCUUAUGUCCAGGGCUUCACGCAUGCUACAAUGGCUGGUACAGAGAGUGGCGAGCCUGUGAGGGUGAGCGAAUCUCGGAAAGCCGGUCUCAGUUCGGAUUGGGGUCUGCAACUCGACCUCAUGAAGUCGGAGUCGCUAGUAAUCGCAGAUCAGCAACGCUGCGGUGAAUACGUUCCCGGG